GGCGGCGUAGCUCAAUUGGCAAGAGCGUACGGUUCAUACCCGUGAGGUUAAGGGUUCAAUCCCCUUCGCCGCUACCA
RNAcentral lists this transfer RNA (77 nucleotides) under Bacilli bacterium. Its description in RNAcentral is "tRNA-Met". It matches the Rfam family "tRNA". From Rfam's summary of the family: Transfer RNA (tRNA) molecules are approximately 80 nucleotides in length. The record is from RNAcentral. Lineage: Bacteria; Bacillati; Bacillota; Bacilli.